Molecule: long non-coding RNA, 1548 nt
Organism: Dasypus novemcinctus (nine-banded armadillo)
Lineage: Eukaryota; Metazoa; Chordata; Mammalia; Cingulata; Dasypodidae
Source: Ensembl
GGAAUUGUCAACAAAGGGACGAGGGACGCACAACUCGGCACCACAGCGCGCGCCGGCAUCUCGCGGGCCCCGAGGGCGCUCCGGCCAGACGGGGGUCGAGGAAGCUCGUGGGUCCGCAACAGCAUCAUCUGGGGUUGCCAAAGGUCAGAAAAUGACUAUUGAUUAACCUAUUAGGAUACCUGUAGUUGCCGAGAGAAAUAAAAAACGACGUAAAAUAACCAACUAUUUUAAAAAAAGAAGCCUUAAAGAAGCUUCUCGGAGUAGUUAAAUGACUUUAGCAGAUGAAAAAAAGUCGGAAAUGAGGCGCCCGAGAAGGAGCCGAGAUUGGCAGCGGCCGGGGUGGACACAAACCCUCCAAGAUUUAACUUCCGCGGACGAAGCGAGGAUGAGACCAAUACACACACAAAAUUCCUUGGCCGCCUCGUUGCGGGCGGCGAACGCCUGCCUGGCGGGAAUGGUUCCUGAGCCCAAGUCCAGUCCACUGAGGCCUGGAGAGGGAAGGCUGGCAUCACCAGAGCAUGGUGCACCAGGGGAGGAGGUCGAGAGGAACUAAAGAGUGAAAUAUUUUCAGAAGUCACCCAGAAAACUCAUUUAAUUUUAGGUGGACGGUGGUGCUUCUGGAGCUCUCUCCCUCUCCUACAACUUUCCCCCGGCCUAGACACAUACUCCCUCCAGAGGAAAAUCCGUAAACUUGCUUCAUUACAUGCGAUGCGACACACAGAUUGGCUUUAACCAUCAUGAGACCAUUGCCCCGGGUAUGAACACUAGUUCACUCGAUCCCGACUCCGCAGGCGUUCCUGGUUGGGCCAGGGGGUCUCCCUUCCGAGACUCCCGUGAACCUCCGCGAUUUUUCUGUAUCUAAAUGAACCCCCGCCCCCGCUUGCACCUGACCCUAAAACGCAUCUCUGAGUUGAUUUCCGCAGCUGUAUGGUUUUUGUGGCCGGCCGGCUCCGAGCCGUUUACAAUGCUGUCUGUGCAACUCCAGAAGAACCAGCGUGAGCGGUGAGUUGGGCGUCGGUUGCCCCCGGCUGCUGCAGGGGUCGUGGCUGCAACUGCCCGAGCCAAUGAACAAUUACAAAAAGAAGGUCGGAAGGGCAAGAAAAAGAAACCAAAAUUUAUAAAUUGAGAGGCCCCUUUGCCCAGCUUUGGGUUGCCCAAUCCCAGGGCAGACGCGGGCCGCACGCGGUACCAGCCCCACGGUAGCCUGGGCUGCUGGGCGGGCAUGGGCGCGCGGGUGUGCGCGCGCUGGCGUGUUGCGGCUGCGGAGGCUGCCCGCGCACAUCUUUUUGAAGUAACCCACAAAUGAGCCUAAUUUCGAUUCCGCCGCCCGCAGGAGAUGGCUCCUGGAACUUCUCGGCGCCGCUGGCUCAACCUCGCCCUCCCUCCGCCGAGGUCCGGCUCAUCUGUCCAUUCCCCGGUGUCUCCUUGGAAUCUCCCUAGGGGAAGGGGGAAAGCAGCGGGUGGUGGUGAACAACUCCCAGCCGCCGGUUCCAUUUGUUGCGCUUUUAUCCUUCGACACAAUAAAAGUCAAAUUAAUUGAUUCAUACC